GUCUCCGUAGACUCAGUGGAUAGAGCACGCGCCUUCUAAGCGUGUGGUCGGGAGUUCGAAUCUCUCCGGGGACGCCA
Molecule: transfer RNA, 77 nt
Filed under: Erysipelothrix sp. Poltava
Lineage: Bacteria; Bacillati; Bacillota; Erysipelotrichia; Erysipelotrichales; Erysipelotrichaceae
Description: tRNA-Arg
Rfam family: tRNA
About the family: Transfer RNA (tRNA) molecules are approximately 80 nucleotides in length. Their secondary structure includes four short double-helical elements and three loops (D, anti-codon, and T loops). Further hydrogen bonds mediate the characteristic L-shaped molecular structure. tRNAs have two regions of fundamental functional importance: the anti-codon, which is responsible for specific mRNA codon recognition, and the 3' end, to which the tRNAs corresponding amino acid is attached (by aminoacyl-tRNA synthetases). tRNAs cope with the degeneracy of the genetic code in two manners: having more than one tRNA (with a specific anti-codon) for a particular amino acid; and 'wobble' base-pairing, i.e. permitting non-standard base-pairing at the 3rd anti-codon position.
Source: RNAcentral